Molecule: long non-coding RNA, 762 nt
Filed under: Nicotiana benthamiana
Lineage: Eukaryota; Viridiplantae; Streptophyta; Magnoliopsida; Solanales; Solanaceae
Description: long non-coding RNA (NBEN_LNC005116)
Source: RNAcentral
GUGUUCUUCAGCUUAAUCUUCAUGUUUUCAUGGUAUCAGAGCCGAAAAAUCUUCUGAUCCUUCUCUGUUAUGUGUUGUCGAUACUUGCUGAAGCUUUUGCUGAAGUUUUUCUUCGGUUAUCUGAGAAAAAUACUGUUCGUUUAUUUUUCGAUGAAUGUUAAUCGGAUAAUCGGAACUUUUCUGACUGUUUGAGGCUCCGAUCAUGUAUCAGUAGAUGUUUUUGGGUGGUUUUCCGACAUCUAUUUUCGAUGAACGUUAAUCGGAUAAUCGAGACUUUCUUACUGUUUGAGGCUCCGAUCAUGUAUCAGUAGAUGUUUUGGGUGAUUUUCCGACAUCUCUGGUCUUAUUCCGGUGAGUUCUUCAAAAUCUAGGGUUUUCCGACUUUCGGACCAAGGGUUUUGAUGUUAUCCGAUGAUUUUUACCUUCGGUCGAUAGACGUUUUGGGUAAGUUUCGACGUUUGUGACCUGAUUCUGGUGAGUUUCCGUUUAUCUGCAAUUUCCGAUGACCGGACUUAGUUUCAUCCGGUGGUUGAAGGCCGUUCUUCUCCGUUCGCGAAGAAGGAGGGUAACACUUUCUCUGUUCUAAGUGUUGUAUAUGUUGCAUGCCAGUACUGGUUUGAUUGUGGUCUAUUCAUUGAAACUAUUUCUGUGUUGUUAAGUUUGUUCAUUAUUCAUGGCUGAUAAUACGAAUACUAAUACCUCCCCCACGGACUCUACUAGUCCCCUCCUAAUUUACUCCUCUGACGUUCCUGGUAUGUCUCU